GGCUAUAUCACGUUGAAUACAUCACGUACGAUCACCGAAGUUAAACAACGCUGAGCCUAGUUCCUACCUUGAUGGGUGACCACUUCGGAAUACCAGUUGUUGUAAG
Acanthosepion pharaonis is the source of this 106-nucleotide non-coding RNA. NCBI's taxonomy places the organism in Eukaryota, Metazoa, Mollusca, Cephalopoda, Sepiida, Sepiidae. The record is from the annotation of a GenBank genome assembly.